CAGAGCCUCUUUUCUCUUCCCCAUCCCUCCUUGAAAUCCAACUGUCCACCUGGGCCAGAGGUCUCUGGGGUGGCACUGAGGUAGGGGAAUGGCUGGGCCUAAGAGGGCAGACACAGGACAGAUGGAGAGUCCAGUGAAGUAGGAGAAGGACAGGAAGAUCAAAAGAGAAACACAGUGAGAGUGAAAAAGUGACUGGGAGACAGAGGGGCAGAGGCUAAGAGUUAGCAGAAAGCCAGCAUAACAAGCUGGGAGAGUGAGAGAAACAGAAAGAGAGCAGCGAGACUGGGAGCAGAGAAAAAGAAAAAGAAUGGAGAGAGAAGGAUGGGAAAGUCACAGCUAGAGAAGGCAGCUGGGGAGGGCUGGCAUGGGUCAGGCUGGCUCUCCUGGGCUCGCUCCCUCCUUCUGAUGGGCCAUAAAUCUGUGUGUGCGCACACUGGUGUCUGUCUGUCCAUCUAUGUGCACGCACGCACUGCACGUGUGUACAGGGGUUGGUGGUGGGCAGAGGGAUGAUUCCCACAAUAUCCUCAUUCUCAUUUGUUUCAGGAGUCUCCCUCCUUGAGGCACCCCACACCAACCCCUCAUUUCCCAACAUUCCUGAUGCUCCAGGGGCCAUUCCCAAGAAAUGCUGUAACUGCACUCCAGGGGCUAUGUGAAUGCCGGAUGCUUGGAAAGUUCCUCUCCCAUCUGCCUUCCAUCCUUUCUGCUGCAAAGAUCUGUGGUCCUCCGAGGGGCUCUCCAGGAGUCAACCCCCUGCCCGAUCUGUGAAACUCAUUCUCCACCGCCCUCAGGGCCCCCUGCUCUGGCUCAGGAGGAGAGGGAGAUGCUGGGUGGGGGCCUGGGGAAGGUGGCCACGCUAAAAAUAGGGGCUCCCAACGGCACCCCCAGCCCCUUAUUUAUCGCCUUCCAAACCCCUCUCUCAAAGAAGCAUAAAUACGCAUUCCUAAUCCUGAA
This is a long non-coding RNA of Myotis daubentonii (Daubenton's bat), 951 nucleotides long. RefSeq lists it as uncharacterized. NCBI's taxonomy places the organism in Eukaryota, Metazoa, Chordata, Mammalia, Chiroptera, Vespertilionidae. The record is from RefSeq and is a predicted model, not a curated record.